Molecule: ribosomal RNA, 1439 nt
Filed under: uncultured organism
Description: 16S ribosomal RNA
Rfam family: Bacterial small subunit ribosomal RNA
Source: RNAcentral
CAGGCUUAACACAUGCAAGUCGAGGGGCAGCAUGGUCUUAGCUUGCUAAGGCCGAUGGCGACCGGCGCACGGGUGAGUAACACGUAUCCAACCUGCCGUCUACUCUUGGACAGCCUUCUGAAAGGAAGAUUAAUACAAGAUGGCAUCAUGAGUCCGCAUGUUCACAUGAUUAAAGGUAUUCCGGUAGACGAUGGGGAUGCGUUCCAUUAGAUAGUAGGCGGGGUAACGGCCCACCUAGUCUUCGAUGGAUAGGGGUUCUGAGAGGAAGGUCCCCCACAUUGGAACUGAGACACGGUCCAAACUCCUACGGGAGGCAGCAGUGAGGAAUAUUGGUCAAUGGGCGAGAGCCUGAACCAGCCAAGUAGCGUGAAGGAUGACUGCCCUAUGGGUUGUAAACUUCUUUUAUAAAGGAAUAAAGUCGGGUAUGCAUACCCGUUUGCAUGUACUUUAUGAAUAAGGAUCGGCUAACUCCGUGCCAGCAGCCGCGGUAAUACGGAGGAUCCGAGCGUUAUCCGGAUUUAUUGGGUUUAAAGGGAGCGUAGAUGGAUGUUUAAGUCAGUUGUGAAAGUUUGCGGCUCAACCGUAAAAUUGCAGUUGAUACUGGAUAUCUUGAGUGCAGUUGAGGCAGGCGGAAUUCGUGGUGUAGCGGUGAAAUGCUUAGAUAUCACGAAGAACUCCGAUUGCGAAGGCAGCCUGCUAAGCUGCAACUGACAUUGAGGCUCGAAAGUGUGGGUAUCAAACAGGAUUAGAUACCCUGGUAGUCCACACGGUAAACGAUGAAUACUCGCUGUUUGCGAUAUACGGCAAGCGGCCAAGCGAAAGCGUUAAGUAUUCCACCUGGGGAGUACGCCGGCAACGGUGAAACUCAAAGGAAUUGACGGGGGCCCGCACAAGCGGAGGAACAUGUGGUUUAAUUCGAUGAUACGCGAGGAACCUUACCCGGGCUUAAAUUGCAGAUGAAUUACGGUGAAAGCCGUAAGCCGCAAGGCAUCUGUGAAGGUGCUGCAUGGUUGUCGUCAGCUCGUGCCGUGAGGUGUCGGCUUAAGUGCCAUAACGAGCGCAACCCUUGUUGUCAGUUACUAACAGGUUCCGCUGAGGACUCUGACAAGACUGCCAUCGUAAGAUGUGAGGAAGGUGGGGAUGACGUCAAAUCAGCACGGCCCUUACGUCCGGGGCUACACACGUGUUACAAUGGGGGGUACAGAGGGCCGCUACCACGCGAGUGGAUGCCAAUCCCCAAAACCUCUCUCAGUUCGGACUGGAGUCUGCAACCCGACUCCACGAAGCUGGAUUCGCUAGUAAUCGCGCAUCAGCCACGGCGCGGUGAAUACGUUCCCGGGCCUUGUACACACCGCCCGUCAAGCCAUGGGAGCCGGGGGUACCUGAAGUGCGUAACCGCGAGGAGCGCCCUAGGGUAAAACUGGUGACUGGGGCUAAGU